GGGAAUCUACGUCACCCGAAAAGCGACUAUAAACGCCGGCGCCUCCGUCCCCAGCCGCGGCUCGGGAAUCCACCCGAAGAGUGGCUAUAAACGUCCGCGCCUCCAUUGCGCUCUCCUCUUCACUUAGGACACUGGUCCUCCCACGCCUGACACCGACGUCGCCAGGACCGCGGGGUUGGGGGAACUUGGCUGUCCCACGUCUUUCAAAUAAAGCUGUUUUGUCUAACUCAC
RNAcentral lists this long non-coding RNA (231 nucleotides) under Homo sapiens (human). RNAcentral describes it as "non-protein coding SNHG9:8". Lineage: Eukaryota; Metazoa; Chordata; Mammalia; Primates; Hominidae. The record is from RNAcentral.